AACGCACAUUGCACUGUCUGGAAUUCCGGACAGUAUGUCUGUUUGAGCAUCAUUUCUCUACCCUCCAUUCAAUACCUGGGGCAACUCAGGUGUUUGAGUGAAGGGACUUGAAGCGUAGCUGGCUCGCUCAGCUUGCUUCCAAAUAACCAGCAAACAGUUGGCGUAACUGUGUAGUUAGGUCCGCAAGGAAUCUCUACUGCAGCCGCUUGACGCGUUUGCUUCAACUUUGACUGGGGAACGCCUGUGCGUCCUCUGAACUUUGAUCUCAAAUCAGACAAGACUACCCGCUGAACUUAA
Molecule: unclassified non-coding RNA, 297 nt
Filed under: uncultured soil eukaryote
Lineage: Eukaryota
Description: sequence contains 5.8S rRNA gene, ITS2, 28S rRNA gene
Source: RNAcentral